RNAcentral lists this long non-coding RNA (743 nucleotides) under Equus caballus (horse). Its description in RNAcentral is "lncRNA (ENSECAG00000051837.1)". Lineage: Eukaryota; Metazoa; Chordata; Mammalia; Perissodactyla; Equidae. The record is from RNAcentral.
CACACAUGUGGUGAAUUUCAAGCUCCCACUGAAUGCAGAGAAGGGAAGGAUGUAGACAGUUGGCUUGGGCUCCAGCACCCCACAGGAUAAGGAAAACAUUGAGCCUCUUGAAGAGAACUAUUCCUGCCGUAAGUUUGGCAACCAGAAGACCAGCUCCUUACAGUAACAGGGAGUGAGCAUGGCUAUGGCUUUGAGCAGGGUCGCCUGAGAACAAAAUGCAGAAACAUCAUCCCUGCAAGCCUGCAGUCCACUCCACCCACGGCUUCCUCUGCCUUGAGAAUUGUAUCAUCACUAUGCAAACCAGAACACUCAUUGCGAGACCUGUUGAGUUUUCUUCUUGACUUCUUCGUUUCUUCACUCUGUGCUCUCCUCUGCUUGCCCGGGCUGUUGCUGCAGCCCACUCCCAGGCCACCGCUCCUAUCCUUCCAACCACCCAGUUGUCACACAGCUGCUGGAGGGUUCUUGCACGUUGAAAUUGUGUAUCCCUCACUUUCUUCAAAAUCUUUCUGUAGUUCACCAUCGCUGCAAUGACAACACGUUAGCUCUGUAGUUCCCUGUGCAAGAUUCCAGGCCACGCACAGUUCUGUGUUUUCUCCUGUUGGGACAUGGUCACCCUCUUUCUUGAACCUGAUUUACCUCUGUUCUUCUGGUUUAUUGAAUUAUAAUUGUUGAAUACUUACUUAUCUCCUGAAUUAUUUCUCCUCUCACAAGACUCCUCUGUCUUGCCCCUCAGACGCCCCCAG